Long non-coding RNA from Lineus longissimus, 517 nucleotides. RefSeq lists it as uncharacterized. NCBI's taxonomy places the organism in Eukaryota, Metazoa, Nemertea, Pilidiophora, Heteronemertea, Lineidae. The record is from RefSeq and is a predicted model, not a curated record. The transcript is spliced from 2 exons.
UUUGCCAUCGCCAGAUGGCUCACAACGCGCUUUGUUCUCCCGCCUUUAUAAACCCCUUGCUUCACCAGAAACUUCAUUCGAAACUUCGACUUCAAGAUAUCUCCAGACCUCGUACAGACAAACAGAAUUUUCGCAAACAUGGCGCGAGUUGCAUGCAUGAUACUUCUGCUGGUGGUAGCGGUGAUGUGUGUUACGGGAGAUCGACAUGGGGGAAAGGGCAAAGGUCUAUUACACCACUGUCACGACGCCCAUUGUUGCUUACACCAUCCUAACGCCCAUAACUGCUGCCCUGACCACCAUUGUUGCCAUCACCAUCCUCAUCGUGCAAACUGCUAGCACGGUCUUUUGAGAGGUUGAUAAACCACGAUGUGACAUGGAGCAAUCCACAGAAACCUGACGCACCGGAAUCGACUACACGGAAAUGGACUCUAUUUCUCUUUUACUGUCGUUGCUUAUUAAAUGUUCGUAUCGAUACGAGUAAAAAUUAAAUCGCAAAUGCUGGCAAUAACUAUGAAAA